GGGUGACGAGCGGCGGACGGGUGAGUAAUGUCUGGGAAACUGCCUGAUGGAGGGGGAUAACUACUGGAAACGGUAGCUAAUACCGCAUAACGUCGCAAGACCAAAGAGGGGGACCUUCGGGCCUCUUGCCAUCAGAUGUGCCCAGAUAGGAUUAGCUAGUAGUGGAGUAACGGCUCACCUAGCGACGAUCCCUACUGGUCUGAAGGAUGACCAGCCACACUGGAACUGAGACACGGUCCAGACUCCUACGGGAGGCAGCAGUGGGGAAUAUUGCACAAUGGGCGCAAGCCUGAUGCAGCCAUGCCGCGUGUAUAAAGAAGGCCUUCGGGUUGUAAAGUACUUUCAGCGGGGAGGAAGGUGUUGUGGUUAAUAACCACAGCAAUUGACGUUACCCGCAGAAGAAGCACCGGCUAACUCCGUGCCACAGCCGCGGUAAUACGGAGGGUGCAAGCGUUAAUCGGAAUUACUGGGCGUAAAGCGCACGCAGGCGGUCUGUCAAAGUCGGGAUGUGAAAUCCCCGGGCUCAACCUGGGAACUGCAUUCGAAACUGGCAGGCUAGGUCUUGUAAGGGGGGUAGAAUUCCAGGUGUAGCGGUGAAAU
RNAcentral lists this ribosomal RNA (600 nucleotides) under uncultured bacterium. RNAcentral's name for it is "bacterial SSU rRNA". It matches the Rfam family "Bacterial small subunit ribosomal RNA", at positions 86 to 687 of the family's 1533-position model. The record is from RNAcentral.